This 258-nucleotide ribosomal RNA is filed under the name uncultured bacterium. RNAcentral describes it as "partial 16S ribosomal RNA". It matches the Rfam family "Bacterial small subunit ribosomal RNA", at positions 96 to 354 of the family's 1533-position model. The record is from RNAcentral.
UGGCGGACGGGUGAGUAACGCGUGGGUAACCUGCCUUACACAGGGGGAUAACACCUGGAAAUAGGUGCUAAAACCGCAUAAGCGCACAGCUUCGCAUGAAGCGGUGUGAAAAACUCCGGUGGUGUAAGAUGGACCCGCGUCUGAUUAGCUUGUUGGCGGGGUAACGGCCCACCAAGGCGACGAUCAGUAGCCGGCCUGAGAGGGCGGACGGCCACAUUGGGACUGAGACACGGCCCAGACUCCUACGGAAGGCAGCAG